RNAcentral lists this long non-coding RNA (2527 nucleotides) under Sus scrofa (pig). RNAcentral describes it as "lncRNA (ENSSSCG00005031240.1)". Lineage: Eukaryota; Metazoa; Chordata; Mammalia; Artiodactyla; Suidae. The record is from RNAcentral.
CCAGCCUGCACCACAGCUCAUGGCAACACCAGAUCCUUAACUCACUGAGUGAGGCCAGGGAUCGAACCCGCAUCCUCAUGGAUACUAGUCGGGUUUGUUACCCCUGAGCCACGACGGGAACUCCCCACUCCCCCUUCUUAAUCAGCCCCGGCCGCGCCAGGCCUACCGUCUGGCCCUCCGCAUUCUUCAGCAUAGUGUGGGCACCUGGUCAGUCAGGGUCCAGCGUGUGUCAAAGAGAAUACAGAUCUGACCUCAUUCACAUUUCUUUUAUUUGAAGUUUUAGCCUCUUGAAAGCUGUGGACGGCCUUCAGAAAAUGCACAGACACACAAGUCUGAACUGUGCAUACAUUUCAGAGAGUGGGUCUGGAAAGCUUCUUGAUGAACGCAAGUCAGGGGCCUUUGCCAAUAAUGCCAGAGCCCGCAGGCCUGGCCAGCACUCUGCGUGCGCUGUGUGCCGGGCACAUACCGAGUGCUUCAUUGCUUCCCGGCCUCCCUGAGAGGGAUGUUCUAUGGUCACCCCCAUUUUCUGGAGGAGGAAACUGAGACUUUUCUGGGGGUGCAAUAUUAAGUCACUUGUCCAAGGUCACAGGGCUAGAGUGUGUCUGAGCCCCCAGAUCCCAACCCAGGCCAUCUGAUUCUGGGCCAGAAGCGUCCUAAGUGGAAGGUGGCUCAUCCUCCCCAAACCCCCAUGUCUUCCCUGGAUCAUCGUGUCAUCACUUACCGACUCCGCUGAGCCCUCCCCUCCCCUGGCAGGAAGCCAGUCUCUGUUUAGCCCUGUUCUCUGUUCUGCGCAGUCUUGACCAUCGCCCGCUGAGGAUGGUGGUCCUGAGGGUGACGCCUUGGGUGGGGUAGGGGUGACGGCUGGGUCUCUAGGUUUCCCCACAGGCUCUCCCAGACCCUCCUCCCCUCCCCCCGCCCCCCUCGGUUUCCUGCGUCACUCUGUUUGAAGGGCAGCAGAGGGGCAGCUGGCAGGCCCCUGUCCUUAUCACGGGCUCGUGUUUGCCAGAGCUCCCCAUGUCGUGCUUGGGGCUGCCACAGGCACGUGCCCCCAGUGAACCCCGCUUUUCUCUCCUGGGCACCCCCCUCGCAGGCGAAGCUGGUCCGGUACAUUUGCAAGCAGCGGCAGUGCAAGCUGAGCGUGGCCCCCGGGGAGAGGCCCUCCGAGCUCAACAGCUACCCUCAGGGGAAGGGGACGUGGAGGCGGGGGCAUAGGUGGUGGCAGCAGGAGGGACCCAGGGUAAAUGUGGCUCCGCAUGUGUCCUGGGCCCCAUCGCCUUCUGAGCCGGACAGCCGGACCACACCAUGCACAGGUUCGCACUUCUGGAAAUGUUGGCUGUGCCGCAGACCCUGAGUUAAGCAUUCUGUGUAGAUAAUCUCACUUAAUUCUCACAAAACUCUGUGAAGGCGUUGCUAUCAUGAUGGCCAUUUUAUACAUGACAACAUUAAAGGAUAGGACGGUCAAAUAACUUUUUAAAAUCGUACACAUAGUGAUGAUAGCUUUGGAAUUUGGAAGCAAGGGUCUGUGUGUAGCUUUCUCCUGCGACCGCAAUAACAUACUGUCUUCCCUCCUUUGCUCCCUCUUCCCACCCAUCCAGUCUACCCACCCACCUAUCUGCUAACCAACUAAUCCAGCCGUAUUCACGGAGAGUGGCGGGGGUCAGGGGCCAGGGGUCAGGGGUCAGAACAUAUCUCAUGGGGCAUCAAUAAAACAGUGCUUGGAAGGUGCGGUCGUACACCCAGCCAGGUCUUUUAAAUCUCUUAUUUCUAUUCUAAAAUUUAAAAAAUCAACACUUAUUAUUGUUUUAAAAGUAAUAUGAAUUCAUUUAUAAAGAUGCUUUGGAAAACAGAAAAAUGAGGGGGAAAAAUCACAUGCAUAUUCCCACCACUCAGAAAAUCUGUGAUCAGUAAGAUUUUGAUAUUUCCUUCUAGUCUCUCUCUCUUUUUUUAACCCUAAUACUUAAGUUUUUUAAAAAGUCCCUAAAGGGUUAGACCUUUGCCAUCUGGCCAAUAUUACAUAUUUGGAAUGUGGCAAGUCCCCAUUGAGAUGUGUUAUGAUUUCAAAGAUGUAAAUUCAAAGAUGUGCUGAAUUCUGAAGACCAGAUACAGAAAAAAGAAAAUAUUAAUCGCUUUUAAUAUUUAAUCUGUUAGAUGAUGACACUAGUUUGGAUAUAUUAAGGUAAAUAAAAUGUGAUUAAAAUUAAUUUUAUGUAUAUUUACUUUUUAAAAUGUGGCUACUCAAAAAUGAAAAUUUAAGCGUGUGGCUUGCAUUGUAUUUCUGUUGGGCAGCACUAGUUUAAACUAUCCUGAAGAGGAGUUCCCGUCGUGGCUCAGCGGAAAUGAAUCUGACUAGGAAUCAUGAGGUUGCAGGUUCGAUCCCUGGCCUUGCUCAGUGGGUUAAGGAUCCGGCAUUGCCAUGAGCUGUGGUGUAGGUCGCAGAUGCAGCUCGGAUCCCGCGUGGCUGUGGCUGUGGUGUAGGCCGGUGGCUACAGCUCCAAUUUGACCCCUAGCCUGGGAACCUCCAUAUGCC